GCAAACUUGGUCAUUUAGAGGAAGUAAAAGUCGUAACAAGGUCUCCGUUGGUGAACCAGCGGAGGGAUCAUUACAGAGUCUACCCGACUCCCAAACCCACCGCGAACCUACCUAUCUUGCUCGUUGCUUCGGCGGGUUGCCCCUGGGGAGGGGGCAUCCGGCCGCGAGGCACCCGCCGAAGUGACGCCCCCAAAACAUCUCUGCAGAAGCAGCCUCUGAGUGGGAAAACCAAAAAAUUCACAACUUUUAGCAAUGGAUCUCUUGGUUCCGGCAUCGAUGAAGAACGCAGC
Molecule: unclassified non-coding RNA, 290 nt
Filed under: uncultured fungus
Lineage: Eukaryota; Fungi
Description: partial contains small subunit ribosomal RNA, internal transcribed spacer 1, and 5.8S ribosomal RNA
Rfam family: Eukaryotic small subunit ribosomal RNA (bases 1-73)
Source: RNAcentral